This 497-nucleotide ribosomal RNA is filed under the name uncultured bacterium. RNAcentral describes it as "partial 16S ribosomal RNA". It matches the Rfam family "Bacterial small subunit ribosomal RNA", at positions 28 to 507 of the family's 1533-position model. The record is from RNAcentral.
GAUGAACGCUGGCGGCGUGCCUAAUACAUGCAAGUCGAGCGAACAGACGAGGAGCUUGCUCCUCUGACGUUAGCGGCGGACGGGUGAGUAACACGUGGAUAACCUACCUAUAAGACUGGGAUAACUUCGGGAAACCGGAGCUAAUACCGGAUAAUAUAUUGAACCGCAUGGUUCAAUAGUGAAAGACGGUUUUGCUGUCACUUAUAGAUGGAUCCGCGCCGCAUUAGCUAGUUGGUAAGGUAACGGCUUACCAAGGCAACGAUGCGUAGCCGACCUGAGAGGGUGAUCGCCCACACUGGAACUGAGACACGGUCCAGACUGCUACGGGAGGCAGCAGUAGGGAAUCUUCCGCAAUGGGCGAAAGCCUGACGGAGCAACGCCGCGUGAGUGAUGAAGGUCUUCGGAUCGUAAAACUCUGUUAUUAGGGAAGAACAAAUGUGUAAGUAACUAUGCACGUCUUGACGGUACCUAAUCAGAAAGCCACGGCUAACUACGUG